GUAAUUCUCACCCUUUUUGAUGGAAUAUGAAUAAUAAAAUAAAAAAAGUGAGGCGCAUUCGGCGUGGAAUUAUACAUUUGGAUAAAUAGCAGAAUGUCCGCGCUAAUGUAGGGUUUGUGAACGAUUUUCUCAUCAGAAAAUAUAACGAGCAAGAUGACAGGUUUCUUUACGAUGGAACGUGCCGACAAACAAGGUUAAGAACACGAGACGAGACAUUUUAGAUGUAAGAUAAUGAGAAAGAAUUGAGAGACGGGAAUGGAAAUGAAACUGUACCAGAACUGAGGCGCGAAGAAACAAUC
Molecule: long non-coding RNA, 299 nt
Organism: Papilio xuthus (Asian swallowtail)
Lineage: Eukaryota; Metazoa; Arthropoda; Insecta; Lepidoptera; Papilionidae
Exons: 3
Source: RefSeq, a predicted model, not a curated record